CGGAAUCGUACCCAUCUUGUGUACAAAAUCUCCUGUAUGUGAAACUCCUCUUAUAUAUGAAAAAGUUCUCAACCAUCUUGUGUAUGAAUUAGCAGCAGGGAAACACGCACAAUGGUCCAUGCUGAAACGUUUUCUCGUCCUCUAACUCGAAACGAAGUUGUUGGUCUAAUUUUCCGCUUAACAAUAUUUGGCGCUGUGACCUAUUUUACAAUUAAAUGGAUGGUAGAUGCAAUUGACCCAACAAGGAAGCAAAAAGUAGAAGCCCAAAAACAGGCAGAAAAGUUGAUGAAGCAAAUAGGUGUGAAAAAUGUGAAGCUUUCUGAAUAUGAGAUGAGCAUUGCUGCACAUCUGGUGGAUCCUCUUAGUAUGCACGUAAGUGUUCUUCGUCUUUUUCCUAUGUAAAAAUGUUACGUCUUGGGGCAAAAUGUUCACAUGGAUGCACAUGUGCUCAUAGUGGAACUGUAUUUUAAUUGAAUUUUCUUAAUUUUGGGAGUAAAUGGACAUUGUGGGACAGACACGCGUGUCAACUUUUAUUACAAGUAAUAUACUUAUCAUAUAGGUGCAAAAUCCUAGGACCCAUUUCUUUUUUCUCA
Thamnophis sirtalis is the source of this 593-nucleotide non-coding RNA. The record is from RefSeq and is a predicted model, not a curated record. Lineage: Eukaryota; Metazoa; Chordata; Lepidosauria; Squamata; Natricidae.